GCGUGGGUGAUGAAGCAUUGAGGUGCGUAAAGCCCUGUUAGGAGGGAAGAAUCUUCCGAAUUUUCGGAACUGACGGUACCUCCAGAGAAAGCUCCGGCUAACUCCGUGCCAGCAGCCGCGGUAAUACGGGGGGAGCAAGCGUUGUCCGGAUUUACUGGGCGUAAAGAGAGUGUAGGCGGGAAGAUAAGUCAGUGGUGAAAACUUGCGGCUCAACCGUAAGCGUGCUUCUGAUACUGUCUUUCUUGAGUACGGAAGGGGAAAGCGGAAUUCCUGGUGUAGCGGUGAAAUGCGU
RNAcentral lists this ribosomal RNA (292 nucleotides) under uncultured bacterium. RNAcentral describes it as "partial 16S ribosomal RNA". It matches the Rfam family "Bacterial small subunit ribosomal RNA", at positions 399 to 691 of the family's 1533-position model. The record is from RNAcentral.